CCGGGUUCUAGGGACAGCAGAGAGCAACGUCCAUCUGUGCCGGGCCUCACUCGCAGAGGGUCGGACAAACUCCACGCCAGCAGGGCCUGGGCCACAGACAGAGCCGCAGGGGAGCUGCAGAAAUCCGAGGAGCGGGCAGGUGACUCCGUGUGCAGACAGGGCAAGGAGGUUGGGGCCCAGCUUCAUCCUUGUGCAUGGGAACAUUCACAUCCCAGCAGCAUCUGUGAAGGAAGCAACCUCUGCCGCUCUCCGAACCCUUGGCGAGACCACUGCCCGGUGAGCGGUUGCUUCCGCCUGUCCUUGCUCCCCGGCUCUGCACUGUCUUCAGCUCAGACCACGUCCUUCCCACGACUCUAACUUGGAGCAUGUUUUGAAGUCAGGACUGUGACUCCGCCACGCCUUUGCCUGCUGUGGAGGUCGUCCUGGCUCUGUGGGGUCCCUGAGAUUCCAGAUGAAUUCAGGAAGGGCUGCCAUGGCCAAGUGCUGACUUCCCGGGCUCAGGGCUGAGGCUGCUGGAGGGGUCGCUGGGGCCGUGGCCUAUCAGGCUGCUCCCUCCUUGAUGCUGUUUCCUGUCCUCCACGAGGGCCAGCGGGGAAAACCAGUGGAAGCUUGGAGGACAAUGCCUGUUCCACUGGCCUGGCAGCUGGACGCUGAGCUCUGAGACAGGCGCAAUGGGCAGAAACUACCUGAGGCAUUCAGGGAUUUACCAUCCCACUGCAUGCUAAGUUCUCUUCCACCAUUACCUGUCCAGGUUCAAUGUAGGAGGAGGAGAUGCAAAGCAUUUGCUUUGCAGGUCAAAGCCCAGAGGCGCCAAGCUGCUGCACAGAGGAGGGUCACAGGAGAAGCUGAUCCGUCUGCGCUGGGGAGAGCUCGCCCAGAACCCUGCUGCCCGCGUGCGACGUCCCAGGGCGCGUGGGCCAUGGGUGUGAGCCAGGCCUUCCCCGUGUGACUCUCCACCCCAUCUGUCUGCUUCUUGCUCCUGCAAGUGUUCAUUUUAUUUCAUAUCGC
Molecule: long non-coding RNA, 1008 nt
Filed under: Heterocephalus glaber (naked mole-rat)
Lineage: Eukaryota; Metazoa; Chordata; Mammalia; Rodentia; Bathyergidae
Description: lncRNA (ENSHGLG00100040271.1)
Source: RNAcentral